CCACCGAGUUGUUUAAAUACAAUUUUAAAAAUUUAGGCACAAUCAUUUCCUUCAAUUAGUGGGUUACCAAAUUGUUUAGAGUGCAGUACCGUAUCCACUACUUGUGUUUGAUGGAUGCUCUAUACGCGAUGCAGGAUUCUUGCAUACCGACAAAUCAUCUGGACCGCCCGGAGAUAGUGGACUUGGACUGGAACUCCGAAGACUUGCAGGGCUGGUGCUUUCAGUUCCAGUGGGGGAUCUCCUGGUAAUGGAGCAGUUGGUCGACCUACAUUAAAAUAUUAAAUAUUUAAGAUUGUAAAUUAAAUUUGAAAACAGUUGCGCUAUUUUAUGGGAUUUACAAUCUUAUUUCAAAAUUUUCUUGAAAGAAAAUGAUACUUU
Zophobas morio is the source of this 378-nucleotide long non-coding RNA. RefSeq lists it as uncharacterized. The transcript has 3 exons. The record is from RefSeq and is a predicted model, not a curated record. NCBI's taxonomy places the organism in Eukaryota, Metazoa, Arthropoda, Insecta, Coleoptera, Tenebrionidae.